UACGGAGGAUGCAAGCGUUAUCCGGAAUCACUGGGCGUAAAGCGUCUGUAGGCGGUUUAAUAAGUCAACUGUUAAAUCUUGAGGCUCAACCUCAAAAUCGCAGUCGAAACUAUUAGGCUAGAGUAUAGUAGGGGUAAAGGGAAUUUCCAGUGGAGCGGUGAAAUGCGUAGAGAUUGGAAAGAACACCGAUGGCGAAGGCACUUUACUGGGCUAUUACUAACACUCAGAGACGAAAGCUAGGGUAGCAAAUGGG
This 253-nucleotide ribosomal RNA is filed under the name uncultured bacterium. RNAcentral describes it as "partial 16S ribosomal RNA". It matches the Rfam family "Bacterial small subunit ribosomal RNA", at positions 524 to 776 of the family's 1533-position model. The record is from RNAcentral.